GGGUUGUGAGGUUAAGCGACUAAGCGUACACGGUGGAUGCCCUGGCAGUCAGAGGCGAUGAAGGACGUGCUAAUCUGCGAUAAGCGUCGGUAAGGUGAUAUGAACCGUUAUAACCGGCGAUUUCCGAAUGGGGAAACCCAGUGUGAUUCGUCACACUAUCAUUAACUGAAUCCAUAGGUUAAUGAGGCGAACCGGGGGAACUGAAACAUCUAAGUACCCCGAGGAAAAGAAAUCAACCGAGAUUCCCCCAGUAGCGGCGAGCGAACGGGGAGGAGCCCAGAGCCUGAAUCAGUGUGUGUGUUAGUGGAAGCGUCUGGAAAGGCGCGCGAUACAGGGUGACAGCCCCGUACACAAAAAUGCACAUGCUGUGAGCUCGAUGAGUAGGGCGGGACACGUGGUAUCCUGUCUGAAUAUGGGGGACCAUCCUCCAAGGCUAAAUACUCCUGACUGACCGAUAGUGAACCAGUACCGUGAGGGAAAGGCGAAAAGAACCCCGGCGAGGGGAGUGAAAAAGAACCUGAAACCGUGUACGUACAAGCAGUGGGAGCACGCUUAGGCGUGUGACUGCGUACCUUUUGUAUAAUGGGUCAGCGACUUAUAUUCUGUAGCAAGGUUAACCGAAUAGGGGAGCCGAAGGGAAACCGAGUCUUAACUGGGCGUUAAGUUGCAGGGUAUAGACCCGAAACCCGGUGAUCUAGCCAUGGGCAGGUUGAAGGUUGGGUAACACUAACUGGAGGACCGAACCGACUAAUGUUGAAAAAUUAGCGGAUGACUUGUGGCUGGGGGUGAAAGGCCAAUCAAACCGGGAGAUAGCUGGUUCUCCCCGAAAGCUAUUUAGGUAGCGCCUCGUGAAUUCAUCUCCGGGGGUAGAGCACUGUUUCGGCAAGGGGGUCAUCCCGACUUACCAACCCGAUGCAAACUGCGAAUACCGGAGAAUGUUAUCACGGGAGACACACGGCGGGUGCUAACGUCCGUCGUGAAGAGGGAAACAACCCAGACCGCCAGCUAAGGUCCCAAAGUCAUGGUUAAGUGGGAAACGAUGUGGGAAGGCCCAGACAGCCAGGAUGUUGGCUUAGAAGCAGCCAUCAUUUAAAGAAAGCGUAAUAGCUCACUGGUCGAGUCGGCCUGCGCGGAAGAUGUAACGGGGCUAAACCAUGCACCGAAGCUGCGGCAGCGACGCUGAUGCGUUGUUGGGUAGGGGAGCGUUCUGUAAGCCUGCGAAGGUGUGCUGUGAGGCAUGCUGGAGGUAUCAGAAGUGCGAAUGCUGACAUAAGUAACGAUAAAGCGGGUGAAAAGCCCGCUCGCCGGAAGACCAAGGGUUCCUGUCCAACGUUAAUCGGGGCAGGGUGAGUCGACCCCUAAGGCGAGGCCGAAAGGCGUAGUCGAUGGGAAACAGGUUAAUAUUCCUGUACUUGGUGUUACUGUGAAGGGGGGACGGAGAAGGCUAUGUUGGCCGGGCGACGGUUGUCCCGGUUUAAGCGUGUAGGCUGGUUUUCCAGGCAAAUCCGGAAAACUAAGGCUGAGGCGUGAUGACGAGGCACUACGGUGCUGAAGCAACAAAUGCCCUGCUUCCAGGAAAAGCCUCUAAGCAUCAGGUAACAUCAAAUCGUACCCCAAACCGACACAGGUGGUCAGGUAGAGAAUACCAAGGCGCUUGAGAGAACUCGGGUGAAGGAACUAGGCAAAAUGGUGCCGUAACUUCGGGAGAAGGCACGCUGAUAUGUAGGUGAAGUCCCUCGCGGAUGGAGCUGAAAUCAGUCGAAGAUACCAGCUGGCUGCAACUGUUUAUUAAAAACACAGCACUGUGCAAACACGAAAGUGGACGUAUACGGUGUGACGCCUGCCCGGUGCCGGAAGGUUAAUUGAUGGGGUCAGCGCAAGCGAAGCUCUUGAUCGAAGCCCCGGUAAACGGCGGCCGUAACUAUAACGGUCCUAAGGUAGCGAAAUUCCUUGUCGGGUAAGUUCCGACCUGCACGAAUGGCGUAAUGAUGGCCAGGCUGUCUCCACCCGAGACUCAGUGAAAUUGAACUCGCUGUGAAGAUGCAGUGUACCCGCGGCAAGACGGAAAGACCCCGUGAACCUUUACUAUAGCUUGACACUGAACAUUGAGCCUUGAUGUGUAGGAUAGGUGGGAGGCUUUGAAGUGUGGACGCCAGUCUGCAUGGAGCCGACCUUGAAAUACCACCCUUUAAUGUUUGAUGUUCUAACGUUGACCCGUAAUCCGGGUUGCGGACAGUGUCUGGUGGGUAGUUUGACUGGGGCGGUCUCCUCCUAAAGAGUAACGGAGGAGCACGAAGGUUGGCUAAUCCUGGUCGGACAUCAGGAGGUUAGUGCAAUGGCAUAAGCCAGCUUGACUGCGAGCGUGACGGCGCGAGCAGGUGCGAAAGCAGGUCAUAGUGAUCCGGUGGUUCUGAAUGGAAGGGCCAUCGCUCAACGGAUAAAAGGUACUCCGGGGAUAACAGGCUGAUACCGCCCAAGAGUUCAUAUCGACGGCGGUGUUUGGCACCUCGAUGUCGGCUCAUCACAUCCUGGGGCUGAAGUAGGUCCCAAGGGUAUGGCUGUUCGCCAUUUAAAGUGGUACGCGAGCUGGGUUUAGAACGUCGUGAGACAGUUCGGUCCCUAUCUGCCGUGGGCGCUGGAGAACUGAGGGGGGCUGCUCCUAGUACGAGAGGACCGGAGUGGACGCAUCACUGGUGUUCGGGUUGUCAUGCCAAUGGCACUGCCCGGUAGCUAAAUGCGGAAGAGAUAAGUGCUGAAAGCAUCUAAGCACGAAACUUGCCCCGAGAUGAGUUCUCCCUGACUCCUUGAGAGUCCUGAAGGAACGUUGAAGACGACGACGUUGAUAGGCCGGGUGUGUAAGCGCAGCGAUGCGUUGAGCUAACCGGUACUAAUGAACCGUGAGGCUUAACCUUACAACGCCGAAGCUGUU
This 2929-nucleotide ribosomal RNA is filed under the name Escherichia coli O111 str. RM9322. RNAcentral's name for it is "bacterial LSU rRNA". It matches the Rfam family "Bacterial large subunit ribosomal RNA". Lineage: Bacteria; Pseudomonadati; Pseudomonadota; Gammaproteobacteria; Enterobacterales; Enterobacteriaceae. The record is from RNAcentral.